Molecule: ribosomal RNA, 465 nt
Filed under: uncultured bacterium
Lineage: Bacteria
Description: partial 16S ribosomal RNA
Rfam family: Bacterial small subunit ribosomal RNA
Source: RNAcentral
GACGAACGCUGGCGGCGUGCUUAACACAUGCAAGUCGAACGGAAAGGCCCUGCUUGCAGGGUACUCGAGUGGCGAACGGGUGAGUAACACGUGGGUGAUCUGCCCUGCACUUCGGGAUAAGCCUGGGAAACUGGGUCUAAUACCGGAUAGGAGCCAUUUUUAGUGUGAUGGUUGGAAAGUUUUUUCGGUGUAGGAUGAGCUCGCGGCCUAUCAGCUUGUUGGUGGGGUAAUGGCCUACCAAGGCGGCGACGGGUAGCCGGCCUGAGAGGGUGGACGGCCACAUUGGGACUGAGAUACGGCCCAGACUCCGACGGGAGGCAGCAGGGGGGAAUAUUGCACAAGGGGCGCAAGCCUGAUGCAGCGACGCCGCGGGGGGGAUGACGGCCUUCGGGUUGUAAACUCCGUUCGCUAGGGACGAAGCUUUUUGUGACGGUACCUAGAUAAGAAGCACCGGCUAACUACGUG